AAAUGACAGUCGAGUUUUGAUUUGACUACAAAACUUUUUGUACAGUGAAUAGAGAAUAUAUAUUAUUUCAUGUAAAUUUUUGACAGUUUUUUGAAACUGUUGGAUAUUUUUUAAAUUUUUUUUAAAAUAACUUUGCCGAGUGUCCUAGGGUAGACACUCGGCAAAGAACCCUUCACCGAGUGUCACCCCUAGGACACUCGGCGACUUAAAGUGCCCGGCCGCCAAAAGACUUAAGUGCCCGGCCCCCUCUCUCCCUCCCGUCACUCCCA
This 269-nucleotide long non-coding RNA is filed under the name Setaria viridis. RNAcentral's name for it is "long non-coding RNA (SVIR_LNC009070)". The record is from RNAcentral. Lineage: Eukaryota; Viridiplantae; Streptophyta; Magnoliopsida; Poales; Poaceae.